AACAAGGCGUACCUGCGGACCUGCGGAAGGAUCAUUACCGAGUGUGAACCCCCCCGUAAAAAAGAGGGGUUACCUCCCGUCCUUUGCUGGGAACCCCUUUCCAACUUGGAAGGAGGUUGUUUUCAGACCCUUCUGCUUCGGUGGGGUAACCCACCGGAGCAACCUCAAAAAUAUUCUCAAUUCAAAACCGUUCAGUCCGAGAACUUUUUUGAAAAGCGAAAAAACUUUUAACAAUGGAUC
This 240-nucleotide unclassified non-coding RNA is filed under the name soil metagenome. Its description in RNAcentral is "partial contains 5.8S ribosomal RNA, internal transcribed spacer 2, and large subunit ribosomal RNA". The record is from RNAcentral.